Molecule: long non-coding RNA, 1406 nt
Filed under: Capra hircus (goat)
Lineage: Eukaryota; Metazoa; Chordata; Mammalia; Artiodactyla; Bovidae
Description: lncRNA (ENSCHIG00000000710.1)
Source: RNAcentral
CACAGUUCAUGACUCUUCUAAGACGGCUGUGUGCCACAUCUGCAGUUGAUGAAAUGGAGAGCAGAAGUGUGGCAGACACACAGAGGAGAGUGUGAGCGAGGCAGGCAGGCGCAGGCUGGGCCCGAGGAACUGUCUUGAAGACUGGCCUAAAAAUAGACACGCGCUCACACUCCUCCACCCUCCGCAUCCAACCUCAUAAAACCGGCCCGCCUGUCCUAUUAUGGAGUCAGCCUAUGGCAGACACUUCCUGCGUCCAAGUCGGGCGGUGGAUACCGCGAGAGCGGCGAGGCGGGAGUGGAGGGAAGCAGGCUGUGCAGCAUCCUCAAACUGCAGCUUCGCUCUCCGAGCCUCGAAACUGCCGUCAGCCAAAUCGUACUACGCAUGCUUGCAGAAGUCGACUUGCAAAAUUUCCACUUGAAAAGGGAUUGAGGAAGAUCAGGGCGAAAUGGGCACCUAGCUCUGGUUGGGAACAGCAGUGACUCCGGGUGCAUGGUAUCUCUAUGUCUUUCAAGUGUCCUCGUCACCCUAACCAUGGUCAACACCAAGCCCUGGUCAGCCACCAGCCACGCUGAGCCACAGAACCAGGCUGCGAUGUGCAACAGUGCCCCUAAGAGGCGCAGACUCGAGGGCGUGUGUGACAACUGACAGCUACAUGGCGCAGAUGUGGCUGGGCAAGUCUUGUCUGGACAGACAUCCCCUAGCCUCUGCCUGGAAACAAAGUGGGCGAGCAGGCUCACAGGAAACCUGAGUGCUACCUGCCCAGGUCCCCUAACUCUAUGCCUGGAGCAGGCAGGUGGCACGCUUCUUUCUGGUUUACUCAACUUCCAAUAUGACUAACAAAGAAAAUGCCAGAACCCCCUUAGACAGCAACAUAAAGGUAGAUGUCAUCUUCAGGAAAAGUCCAUGUGUCUGAAAUGGUUCUCUUUUGAAUGCAUUUGUAAAGAUGUGAAAUCUUAUUUACUACAUACUGUGUGUGCAUGUGUGUGCAUAUAUAUUCACACAUACAUAUAUACACACACACACAUACAUAUUACUUUUUAAAAGUCUGUUAGACAAAUCAGGACUGAAAUAUGCCAAAAAGACUAAUGCUAUGGCAUUUUCUUAAACUUUAUUUUAAACUUCAUAUCUUUUAAUUAUUGGUAUCUUUACUAACGGCUACGGCAUUGGUCACUUACACAUAGUUAAGCCUUAAUUUUCCUCAGAGACUUCAAAAAGGAAAAGACACAAAAAACUAAAAGAAAUAAAAAAUACAUCUGUAGCUUUUAAAAAUUUCUAUAGCACUGGUCACUUACACAUAUUUCAGCCUUGAUUUUCCUCAAAGACACAGAAAAUGAAAGGAAGGAAACAGAAACAAAUGGGGAAAUUGGGUCAAAAAAGAGAAUAAAGCAGGGAAGAAAAGAUAAGGA